ACCAGACUCCUACGGGAGGCAGCAGUGGGGGAUAUUGCACAAUGGGGGAAACCCUGAUGCGGCGACGCCGCGUGGGCGAAGAAGUAUUUCGGUAUGUAAAGCCCUCUCAGCAGGGAAGAAGAAAUGACGGUACCUGAGUAAGAAGCACCGGCUAAAUACGUGCCAGCAGCCGCGGUAAUACGUAGGGGGCAAGCGUUAUCCGGAUUUACUGGGUGUAAAGGGGGCGCAGACGGCGAUGCAAGCCAGGAGUGAAAGCCCGGGGCCCAACCCCGGGACUGCUCUUGGAACUGCGUGGCUGGAGUGCAGGAGGGGCAGGCGGAAUUCCUGGUGUAGCGGUGAAAUGCGUAGAUAUCAGGAGGAACACCGGUGGCGAAGGCGGCCUGCUGGACUGCAACUGACGUUGAGGCCCGAAAGCGUGGGGAGCAAACAGGAUUAGAUACCCUUGUAC
RNAcentral lists this ribosomal RNA (448 nucleotides) under uncultured bacterium. RNAcentral describes it as "bacterial SSU rRNA". It matches the Rfam family "Bacterial small subunit ribosomal RNA", at positions 330 to 793 of the family's 1533-position model. The record is from RNAcentral.